RNAcentral lists this long non-coding RNA (1174 nucleotides) under Betta splendens (Siamese fighting fish). Its description in RNAcentral is "lncRNA (ENSBSLG00000006384.1)". The record is from RNAcentral. Lineage: Eukaryota; Metazoa; Chordata; Actinopteri; Anabantiformes; Osphronemidae.
AUGACACAGGCGUUUGUUGUCGGAGUUGUGCGCUUUCAAAAACGGACACUAAUUGCUCAUUUGCUUCUCUUGCUUGUGGGAAACAAAACUGUUGGUUCCACAGAGGAAUCUGAGCCACCAAACACAAGAACCGACCCCACGUCACCGGAUGAACUAACGCCCCAGCAACAUUCCUUCACCACAGGUUUUCACUGUAUUUCACUACUGCCCCCAGAGUCGACUGGGCCGCGUUGAUAUUAGUGGACUGAAACGGUACAUACAUGUGUAAUGAGCUGUAAUACUGUUAUGAGACAAGUAAAUGUGCAGUCUUUUGUUUGCAGUGUGGCCGGUGCACAAUCAGCAUGAAAGCAAUGAGCCAGCUGAUGUCCCUGCAGGAGGACGUCGGGCCUCCGCGGCCCCAGAACGCUCACAUUUGCCUCCACACGUUCUGACUGCAGCUCAUCUCUCGUCGCUCCGACGUCUGGUGUCGCAUGAGAAAAUAACAGGUUGCAGAGUUUGAAUGCAGCUCACUAAUUAUUCACUCAUGAAAUCAUAAAAUAUUACAGCACUGCUCGAAGUGUUGGGAAACAAGGCGCAUGAGGAGAACUGUCCAAAGGAGGCUGAAAUAUGAGCAUUUAAAACUACUUUGAGUGCAUUCUGUCUCUGUGACCCACACGGGUUAAUCAAUGUCAUAUGAGCAUGAGUAAACAUGUAGGUCACAUGAUCUGUGAGUCAUGAUUCCAGAUGAUCACACGCUUGGAUCCAGGCUUGUUUCCAGCUUUUCUAACGUGAUUUGCGAAGGUUUGUCUAAAUGUCGUUGACACAUGCGACGUCUGCUGUUGAUCGCCUCUUUGUACAGACUGGUUUCCAACAAGAUGCCAUAAAUACAGGCAGCCAUCAUGCUGUUGGUAUUAACGCACCGUCAGGCGUGGCAACAACGAACCCAGUGCUUAGCAGAGCGUCUCGUGUUUGACAGUUACUGUAGUUAGUUUGCUGUUUACUAAACAGCCCCGAGCGUUUACUGGUGAGCUGUACCAAGUAACAAUACUACCAUAAUACAAUAAGAGUAACGCAUAAAAAUAAUCCAGAUCUGGAUUGCUCUUUACGGGGAGGGUCAGACCUUGAACCAUAAGAUGGCAGCAAAAGACUGGCUUUGCCUCCUGUCUGAUAUGUAAUAAAAGAAUCAAUUUUACCU